This 613-nucleotide long non-coding RNA is filed under the name Zostera marina. Its description in RNAcentral is "long non-coding RNA (ZMAR_LNC004045)". Lineage: Eukaryota; Viridiplantae; Streptophyta; Magnoliopsida; Alismatales; Zosteraceae. The record is from RNAcentral.
UCAGAUAAGUAUAAAAUGAGCAAAAAAGGCAUGAAACUGAAUUUAAAAUUAAGAUGUGACCAUUGUUGGUUCUAUGGUCAUACUAAGGACAAAUGCUUUCAUUUAAAUGGAUAUCCGGAUUCAAGCAAAGGGUUCAACAACAAAAAAGCCAAAACAGAACAUGCAAGCUCAGCAACCACUCAUCUAAUCACUGAAGAAGAAUACAAGAUCAUGCAAAACCUAUUCAUGAAAAAUGCAGGUAAUUUUUUAAAUAAAUUAGCAUGUAAUGUUUAUUCUUCAAAUAAUUGUGAAUGGAUUUGUGAUAGUGGUGCUUCACAGCACAUGAGUGGAAAUAAAACACUCUUUAGAAAUUUAAGAGACUCUAAAAAAAUUAAAAGAGUCUCAAUUCCUGAUGGAAAUUGUUUUUUAAUAAAACAAAUAGGAGAAAUAAUACUUUCUCCAACAAUAACCUUGAAAAAUGUAUACUAUAUCCCUGAUUUUAAAUUAAAUUUAAUUUCAUCAUAUAAAAUCAUAAAAGAUAUGGGUAUAUCAAUACUUUUAAAUGAAUCACAAUGUUUUUUUCAGGAUCCUCACAGCAAGGAUCUGAUUGGACUGGGUAAUAUAAACAAUGGAG